CUUACCUACGGGAGGCAGCAGUGGGGAAUAUUGCACAAUGGGGGGAACCCUGAUGCAGCGACGCCGCGUGGGUGAAGGAGCACCUCGGUGCGUAAAGCCCUAUCGGCAGGGAAGAAACAGACGGUACCUGACUAAGAAGCCCCGGCUAACUACGUGCCAGCAGCCGCGGUAAUACGUAGGGGGCAAGCGUUAUCCGGAUUCACUGGGUGUAAAGGGAGCGUAGAAGGCGAAGCAAGUCUGGAGUGAAAGCCCGGGGACCAA
This 261-nucleotide ribosomal RNA is filed under the name uncultured bacterium. RNAcentral describes it as "partial 16S ribosomal RNA". It matches the Rfam family "Bacterial small subunit ribosomal RNA", at positions 334 to 612 of the family's 1533-position model. The record is from RNAcentral.